UUUCCGUAGGUGAACCUGCGGAAGGAUCAUUAUUGUAUAACCGAGGUGCGAGGGCUGUCGCUGACCCGAAAGGUCGUGCACGCCCGAGUGCCCUCACCACCAUCCAUCUCACCCCUAUGUGCACCACCGCGUGGGUCCCCCUUUGGCUUGUUCGGAGGGGGGCUUACGUUUUCACACAAACUUUGUAUGCAGUGUAGAAUGUAUUUUUUGUUUUUGCGAUCACGCAAUCAAUACAACUUUCAACAACGGAUCUCUUGGCUCUC
This 263-nucleotide unclassified non-coding RNA is filed under the name plant metagenome. RNAcentral's name for it is "partial contains small subunit ribosomal RNA, internal transcribed spacer 1, and 5.8S ribosomal RNA". The record is from RNAcentral.